CAGUUGCCAGCAUGUCCUCCGGGAUGAUGGGGACACUGUUGGGACCGCUCUGCUAAAGAGGAGGAAGGAAUGGGCAACGGUAGGUCAGCAUGCCCCGAAUUAUCCGGGCUACACGCGGGCUACAAUGGUCAGGACAAUGGGUAUCGACACCGAGAGGUGGAGGCAAUACUCCUAAACCUGUCCUUAGUUCGGAUUGUGGGCUGCAACUCGCCCACAUGAAGCUGGAAUCCGUAGUAAUCGCGUUUCAAAUAGCGCGGUGAAUAUGUCCCUGCUCCUU
RNAcentral lists this ribosomal RNA (277 nucleotides) under uncultured Methanolinea sp. RNAcentral describes it as "partial 16S ribosomal RNA". It matches the Rfam family "Archaeal small subunit ribosomal RNA", at positions 1061 to 1338 of the family's 1478-position model. Lineage: Archaea; Methanobacteriati; Methanobacteriota; Methanomicrobia; Methanomicrobiales; Methanoregulaceae. The record is from RNAcentral.